This 87-nucleotide transfer RNA is filed under the name Apibacter mensalis. It matches the Rfam family "tRNA". From Rfam's summary of the family: Transfer RNA (tRNA) molecules are approximately 80 nucleotides in length. Their secondary structure includes four short double-helical elements and three loops (D, anti-codon, and T loops). Lineage: Bacteria; Pseudomonadati; Bacteroidota; Flavobacteriia; Flavobacteriales; Weeksellaceae. RNAcentral also lists the same sequence under 2 other names. The record is from Rfam by way of RNAcentral.
AGAGAGGUGCUCGAGUGGUUGAAGAGGCUACCCUGGAAAGGUAGUAUACGGGUGACCGUAUCGUGGGUUCGAAUCCCAUCCUCUCUG